Molecule: microRNA, 21 nt
Filed under: Medicago truncatula (barrel medic)
Lineage: Eukaryota; Viridiplantae; Streptophyta; Magnoliopsida; Fabales; Fabaceae
Description: mtr-miR5752b
Source: miRBase by way of RNAcentral
CAUUGUUUGGUUUAGUACAAA